RNAcentral lists this long non-coding RNA (1548 nucleotides) under Homo sapiens (human). RNAcentral's name for it is "HSALNT0229902". Lineage: Eukaryota; Metazoa; Chordata; Mammalia; Primates; Hominidae. The record is from RNAcentral.
AUAUGAAGGGAUUUAAUGUUUGUGAAAAUGAAGUGAGACAAAUAAAUUACACAUUGAGAUACAGCCCAAGUUGCUAAAUGUUUAAAGGUUGAGGCUUGUAAUUUUAUUUUCUUCCAUUUCAUAAUAGUGUAGUGACACAUCACAAUACAUCUCUACACUGUGACUUGAUUUCUCCCGAAUCUGUGUCUGAUGCUGGGAACACUGAUGUUCUGGCUGAAUCCAUGACACUUGCACACUUGUGCUCAGUUUGCCUCAUGACUGGGGUCACUCCAGCCAAGGCUGCAAACUAGGACAGAGUUUGAAACUGGUGCUCCCCUGCGAGACCUUUACUUCACAUAUUACAGAACCAGGACCACUAGGCCAGCUGGUCUAUAAAGAGCGCCUAAAAUGGCAACCUAUUAAUCUCAGAUUUUUUUUUAGAUGGAGUCUCACUGUGUUGCCCAGGCUAGAGUGCAGUGGUGCGAUCUCAGCUCACUGCAGCCUCAGCCUCCUGAGUAGCUGGAAUUGUAGAUGUGUGCCAUCACGCCCAGCUAAUUUUUGCAUUUUUAGUAGAGAUGGGGUUUCACUAUAAUCUCACCAUCUGAAAUUAUGGCCAGACUGGUCUUGAACUCCUGACUUCAGGUGAUCCACCUGCCUCAGCCUCCCAAAAUGUUGGGAUUACCAGCGUGAGCUACCGUGCCUGACCAUAAUCUCAGAUAUUUUCUAAACCAGUAUUUUGCCACCAGUAAAUGCUGAUUAUUAAAAAUACACUCAAAGGCCUUUUUGUCCUAUGACUGAUGCUGCUGAAAAUUUGAUGUAACCAUCUUGGCAAUUUGUGGUAAUCUCAUUUCUACAAAUGUGUGGAGGAGAUGCACGAGACCCGAGUAAAUAAUAUUGUUUUCAGUUGCUUUUUUCUGUUAUCACUAUAGACAUAACCGUGGAAUCAUCGAAUGACAGGCACAGUAACCAGGAAGACAUAGAUUGAUUGGGUGGGGUCACCUUCAUAGUCACCUUGGCUAACUUUCCAAUUAUGUACACAUUGUAUCUUGGGAGGACAACAAGGAUGAAAGAAACCCAAGUUUUAGCAUAGAAUACUUGAGCAGCUGGAAGUGGUUACCAGACAGACAUGCCCUAUGUUCUUAAUGCCACUGGAGCACUCACCACGUCAGGUGUGACACGAGAGGUGGGGCAGUCUCUAAGUGGAAGUGGGGCUCAUAUGAAUGAGUAGGGCAAGUCUGGGAGACAGAAAAGGGGAAAGGUCAUUUUGGGCAGUGGAAAGAAAUAAAUCAAGUGCAAAGACACAGAGGUGCAGGAGACUGACAUCAGAUUUAGUGUUGGAGUCUGGAGUCUGAGGGAGGAAUCUAUAAUAACUGGUAGGUUCUAUGGAUGCUGAACCAGAAUGCAGAGGCGGGAAGCAGGGGAGAUUGGCUAGGAGUCUUCUGCAACAGUCCAGGCUCAUGAUGACAGGACUUGCACCUGUGAGAGAGCACAGGCCACAGAGGGCACGGGGUGCUGUCGAAAAACUCUUCUGAGGUACAACAAGUAGACGGCAGUGCCUGAUACUACUUG